Xenopus laevis (African clawed frog) is the source of this 327-nucleotide long non-coding RNA. RefSeq lists it as uncharacterized. The record is from RefSeq and is a predicted model, not a curated record. The transcript is spliced from 3 exons. Lineage: Eukaryota; Metazoa; Chordata; Amphibia; Anura; Pipidae.
GCUGGACUCGCCUGAAGAGAGAUCUAAAGUAUCCAAAGAGGAUUUUGCCGAACCGACGAAGUCCCAAAGAACCGAAGCCACGAACGGAGCUGAAGUCACGAAAAGACCCGAAGCCACAAUUGGAGCCGAAGCCACGAAAAGAUCCGAAGUUCAAGUCCUGAAGCCCAGAAAAGACCCAAAAGCACAAAAGGAGCCUAAGGAAGACAAAAGAGAAUAAACAGUGAGUUAUUUGGGACCUUCCGUGGAACACAGAUCUUUACAGCAUUGCCUUGUUCAGCCGUUUAAGGUUCAGAGCUGUCACUGUCAGGCACAACGUGGUCCUGGGAU